RNAcentral lists this ribosomal RNA (617 nucleotides) under uncultured Arthrobacter sp. RNAcentral describes it as "bacterial SSU rRNA". It matches the Rfam family "Bacterial small subunit ribosomal RNA", at positions 257 to 878 of the family's 1533-position model. Lineage: Bacteria; Bacillati; Actinomycetota; Actinomycetes; Micrococcales; Micrococcaceae. The record is from RNAcentral.
GUAAUGGCCUACCAAGGCGACGACGGGUAGCCGGCCUGAGAGGGUGACCGGCCACACUGGGACUGAGACACGGCCCAGACUCCUACGGGAGGCAGCAGUGGGGAAUAUUGCACAAUGGGCGAAAGCCUGAUGCAGCGACGCCGCGUGAGGGAUGACGGCCUUCGGGUUGUAAACCUCUUUCAGUAGGGAAGAAGCCCUCUUUGGGGGUGACGGUACUUGCAGAAGAAGCGCCGGCUACUACGUGCCAGCAGCCGCGGUAAUACGUAGGGCGCAAGCGUUAUCCGGAAUUAUUGGGCGUAAAGAGCUCGUAGGCGGUUUGUCGCGUCUGCUGUGAAAGACCGGGGCUCAACUCCGGUUCUGCAGUGGGUACGGGCAGACUAGAGUGCAGUAGGGGAGACUGGAAUUCCUGGUGUAGCGGUGAAAUGCGCAGAUAUCAGGAGGAACACCGAUGGCGAAGGCAGGUCUCUGGGCUGUAACUGACGCUGAGGAGCGAAAGCAUGGGGAGCGAACAGGAUUAGAUACCCUGGUAGUCCAUGCCGUAAACGUUGGGCACUAGGUGUGGGGGACAUUCCACGUUUUCCGCGCCGUAGCUAACGCAUUAAGUGCCCCGCCUGGGG